CCCUUCAGUGCUGCAGCAAACGCAUUAAGCACUCCGCCUGGGGAGUACGACCGCAAGGUUGAAACUCAAAGGAAUUGACGGGGGCCCGACAAGCGGUGGAGCAUGUGUUUAAUUCGAAGCAACGCGAAGAACCUUACCAGGUCUUGACAUCCUUUGACCACUCAUAGAGAUAGAGCUUUCCCUUCGGGGACAAAGUGACAGUGGUGCAUGGUUGUCGUCAGCUCGUGUCGUGAGAUGUUGGGUUAAGUCCGCAACGAGCGCAACCCUUAUUGUUAGUUGCCAUCAUUUAGUUGGGCACUCUAGCGAGACUGCCGGUGACAAACCGGAGGAAGGUGGGGAUGACGUCAAAUCAUCAUGCCCCUUAUGACCUGGGCUACACACGUGCUACAAUGGGAAGUACAACGAGUCGCUAGACCGCGAGGUCAUGCAAAUCUCUUAAAGCUUCUCUCAGUUCGGAUUGCAGGCUGCAACUCGCCUGCAUGAAGCCGGAAUCGCUAGUAAUCGCGGAUCAGCACGCCGCGGUGAAUACGUUCCCGGGCCUUGUACACACCGCCCGUCACACCACGCAGAGUUUGUAACACCCGAAGUCGGUGAGGUAACCUUUUUGGAG
This 610-nucleotide ribosomal RNA is filed under the name Enterococcus faecalis. RNAcentral describes it as "bacterial SSU rRNA". It matches the Rfam family "Bacterial small subunit ribosomal RNA", at positions 836 to 1448 of the family's 1533-position model. The record is from RNAcentral. Lineage: Bacteria; Bacillati; Bacillota; Bacilli; Lactobacillales; Enterococcaceae.